CGUCGACCGGCGCACGGGUGAGUAACGCGUAUCCAACCUUCCCAUUACUGUGGGAUAACCUGCCGAAAGGCAGACUAAUACCGCAUAGUCUUCGAUGACGGCAUCAGAUUUGAAGUAAAGAUUUAUCGGUAAUGGAUGGGGAUGCGUCUGAUUAGCUUGUUGGCGGGGUAACGGCCCACCAAGGCGACGAUCAGUAGGGGUUCUGAGAGGAAGGUCCCCCACAUUGGAACUGAGACACGGUCCAAACUCCUACGGGAGGCAGCAGCG
Molecule: ribosomal RNA, 267 nt
Filed under: uncultured Prevotella sp.
Lineage: Bacteria; Pseudomonadati; Bacteroidota; Bacteroidia; Bacteroidales; Prevotellaceae
Description: partial 16S ribosomal RNA
Rfam family: Bacterial small subunit ribosomal RNA
Source: RNAcentral